RNAcentral lists this ribosomal RNA (411 nucleotides) under uncultured bacterium. Its description in RNAcentral is "bacterial SSU rRNA". It matches the Rfam family "Bacterial small subunit ribosomal RNA", at positions 32 to 423 of the family's 1533-position model. The record is from RNAcentral.
AAUCAACGCUGGCGGCGUGCCUCAGACAUGCAAGUCGAACGCGAAAGUCCCCUUCGGGGGACAAGUAGAGUGGCGCACGGGUGAGUAACACGUAGGUAAUCUACCUUCGGAUGGGGAAUAACAAUCGGAAACGGUUGCUAAUACCGCAUAAUGCAGCGGCACCUAAUGGUGACAGUUGUUAAAGCGGGGGAUCGAAAGGCCUCGCGUCUGAAGNGGAGCCUGCGGCGGAUAGCUAGUUGGUAAGGUAACGGCUUACCAAGGCGACGAUCCGUAGCCGGCCUGAGAGGGCGGUCGGCCACACUGACACUGACAUACGGGUCAGACUCCUACGGGAGGCAGCAGUCGGGAAUUUUGGGCAAUGGGCGAAAGCCUGACCCAGCAACGCCGCGUGAAGGAUGAAAUCCCUCGGGA